Molecule: transfer RNA, 61 nt
Filed under: Otobius lagophilus
Lineage: Eukaryota; Metazoa; Arthropoda; Arachnida; Ixodida; Argasidae
Description: tRNA-Pro
Source: RNAcentral
CAGAAAAUAGUAUAAGAAAUAUUUAAAUUUUGGGGAUUUAGGUUGAGUUAAUCUUUUCUGA